CGCCCGCCGCCCGCGGGGGCGCCCCGAGCCCCCAGCCUGUGUCGGGGUGACGUCCCCCGGCCCCGCCGCCCGCCUGCAGGCCGGGCUCUCCCCGCCCGCGACCUGCCCGACCUGACCUUGACCUUGAGCUCGCCCGCCCCGCGCCCCCGCGGUGCCGAGACCCCGAGACCCCCUCGGAGGCCUCCGCCUAGGGACGCGGACACAGGCCCGCGGCCGGGGCGGGGGCGAGGUCGCCGGGGGCGGCCCGGGGCAGGCAGGGCGCUCACCUCCAGCACCACGCGGCCGAGGGGCAGGCCGUCGGCGCCCACGUCCAGGCCUCCUCUCCCCCCUUAGGCCCUGCAGACAGAGAGACCAAGAGAGACGUGAGUGAGAGACAGAGGAGGAGGAGAUGAGAGGGGGAUUAGAGUGACGCCUCCCCUGGCGACCACAGGCCUCCUAGUCCUAGUCUGGCCCUGUCCCCGGAUGCCUCUAGACACCACAUCCUCUUUCCACAUCGCUGGAACUCAGCAGGUGCCCAGCAGGCUCUGGCCAGGCCCCAGCCCUCCACCAGGGGCUGAACUGUGAAGUCAUCCCUACCUGUACUGUCCUCAGCGGCAUCAGGAAGAGGGACAAUCCCUGGGCUGAGCCGUGAACGGAAGCAUGCCCCGCCCUCUGGGACUCGCGGCCCAGGUGAGACUGGCUACCAUGCUGUGACACUCAGGCAGCCUCUGGAGGCCCCGUGGUGAGCCACCAAGGCUGGCUAGCAACUACGUGAGGGAUCUGGAUGUGGAUCAUGUGCAGCCUGCCAACAGCCAUGUGAAGAGGCUUGGAAGCAGAUCCAACAGAUCCAGUGGAGCCUUGGGGUGACUGUCCUUCCAGUCAAUGGCCCUAUUGCAAUUGUGAGAUGUGAGGGCCAGAGGCAUGCAACUAAACCACACCUGGAAUCUGCCCCCCAGAAAGUGAGAAAAUAAAUUUUUGUUCUUUUAAGCCCC
Long non-coding RNA from Nyctereutes procyonoides (raccoon dog), 971 nucleotides. RefSeq lists it as uncharacterized. The record is from RefSeq and is a predicted model, not a curated record. The transcript has 4 exons. NCBI's taxonomy places the organism in Eukaryota, Metazoa, Chordata, Mammalia, Carnivora, Canidae.